AGCUUCACACAGUGGCAGUGUCAUAGCCAAUGAGGUUUAUCUGAGGCACGGUUAUUGCUAAUUGAAGGAAAUCCAUUGACAAAACUCCACUAAACUGGGUUGGUUCUUGGCAUAUGAGUCUGUCCUUAGGCA
RNAcentral lists this small nuclear RNA (132 nucleotides) under Canis lupus familiaris (dog). Its description in RNAcentral is "U4 spliceosomal RNA". It matches the Rfam family "U4 spliceosomal RNA". Rfam says of the family: U4 small nuclear RNA (U4 snRNA) is a component of the major U2-dependent spliceosome. The structure of U4 snRNA from yeast and human has been reported. U4 snRNA presents a k-turn RNA motif in the 5p-SL related to recognition of Snu13 protein. RNAcentral also lists the same sequence under 1 other name. Lineage: Eukaryota; Metazoa; Chordata; Mammalia; Carnivora; Canidae. The record is from Rfam by way of RNAcentral.